RNAcentral lists this ribosomal RNA (467 nucleotides) under uncultured bacterium. RNAcentral's name for it is "partial 16S ribosomal RNA". It matches the Rfam family "Bacterial small subunit ribosomal RNA", at positions 28 to 506 of the family's 1533-position model. The record is from RNAcentral.
GACGAACGCUGGCGGCGUGCUUAACACAUGCAAGUCGAACGGAAAGGCCCUGCUUUUGUGGGGUGCUCGAGUGGCGAACGGGUGAGUAACACGUGAGUAACCUGCCCUUGACUUUGGGAUAACUUCAGGAAACUGGGGCUAAUACCGGAUAGGAGCUCCUGCUGCAUGGUGGGGGUUGGAAAGUUUCGGCGGUUGGGGAUGGACUCGCGGCUUAUCAGCUUGUUGGUGGGGUAGUGGCUUACCAAGGCUUUGACGGGUAGCCGGCCUGAGAGGGUGACCGGCCACAGUGGGACUGGGAUACGGCCCAGACGCAUACGGGAGGCAGCAGUGGGGAAUAGUGCACAAUGGGCGGAAGCCUGAUGCAGCAACGCCGCGUGCGGGAUGACGGCCUUCGGGUUGUAAACCGCUUUCGCCUGUGACGAAGCGUGAGGGACGGUAAUGGGUAAAGAAGCACCGGCUAACUACGU